Molecule: ribosomal RNA, 713 nt
Filed under: uncultured earthworm intestine bacterium
Lineage: Bacteria
Description: bacterial SSU rRNA
Rfam family: Bacterial small subunit ribosomal RNA
Source: RNAcentral
CCUAACACAUGCAAGUCGAGCGGAUGACAGGAGCUUGCUCCUGAAUUCAGCGGCGGACGGGUGAGUAAUGCCUAGGAAUCUGCCUGGUAGUGGGGGACAACGUCUCGAAAGGGACGCUAAUACCGCAUACGUCCUACGAGAGAAAGCAGGGGACCUUCGGGCCUUGCGCUAUCAGAUGAGCCUAGGUCGGAUUAGCUAGUUGGUGAGGUAAUGGCUCACCAAGGCGACGAUCCGUAACUGGUCUGAGAGGAUGAUCAGUCACACUGGAACUGAGACACGGUCCAGACUCCUACGGGAGGCAGCAGUGGGGAAUAUUGGACAAUGGGCGAAAGCCUGAUCCAGCCAUGCCGCGUGUGUGAAGAAGGUCUUCGGAUUGUAAAGCACUUUAAGUUGGGAGGAAGGGCAGUAACUUAAUACGUUGCUGUUUUGACGUUACCGACAGAAUAAGCACCGGCUAACUCUGUGCCAGCAGCCGCGGUAAUACAGAGGGUGCAAGCGUUAAUCGGAAUUACUGGGCGUAAAGCGCGCGUAGGUGGUUUGUUAAGUUGGACGUGAAAGCCCCGGCUCAACCUGGGAACUGCAUUCAAAACUGACAAGCUAGAGUAUGGUAGAGGGUGGUGGAAUUUCCUGUGUAGCGGUGAAAUGCGUAGAUAUAGGAAGGAACACCAGUGGCGAAGGCGACCACCUGGACUGAUCUGACACUGAGGUGCGAA